AUUAAGCCAUGCAUGUCUAUGUUCGUACCGUAUUACGGCGAAACUGCGAGUGACCCGUUAAAUCAGUUAUAGGUACUUCGAUGUAGAUUUCUACUUGGGUAACUAUGGGAAUUUUAGAGUUAAUAACAUGCAGCAGAGCUUCGACCCUCUGGGGACGAGCGGUUUUAUUAGAUAAAAAGCAGUCGGACUUCCUGUCCGUUACGUGGUGACUUUGUAUAACUUUAGGCUGAUCUCACGGGUUUGUCCCUUCAAAGUAUCUUUCCAAGUAUGUGCAUUAUCAGCUGUCGAUCGUAGGUUACGCGCCUGCCAAGGUUGUAAAGGAAGACGGAGAAUCAGGGUUCGAUUCCGGAGAGGGAAUCUGAGAAACGGAUACUAUAUCCAAGCUGCCUCAAGAUACUUAAUGGCG
RNAcentral lists this non-coding RNA (406 nucleotides) under Stegodyphus mimosarum. RNAcentral describes it as "eukaryotic small subunit ribosomal RNA". It matches the Rfam family "Eukaryotic small subunit ribosomal RNA", at positions 43 to 421 of the family's 1831-position model. The record is from Rfam by way of RNAcentral. Lineage: Eukaryota; Metazoa; Arthropoda; Arachnida; Araneae; Eresidae.